Molecule: RNase P RNA, 334 nt
Filed under: Cetobacterium ceti
Lineage: Bacteria; Fusobacteriati; Fusobacteriota; Fusobacteriia; Fusobacteriales; Fusobacteriaceae
Also listed under: 1 other name
Description: Bacterial RNase P class A
Rfam family: Bacterial RNase P class A
About the family: Ribonuclease P (RNase P) is a ubiquitous endoribonuclease, found in archaea, bacteria and eukarya as well as chloroplasts and mitochondria. Its best characterised activity is the generation of mature 5'-ends of tRNAs by cleaving the 5'-leader elements of precursor-tRNAs. Cellular RNase Ps are ribonucleoproteins.
Source: Rfam by way of RNAcentral
UAAGGUACUAGAGUUAAUCGCUUGUUUUUAACAAGAGGAAAGUCCGGGCUCCAUAGAGCAGAAGGGUAGCUAACGGCUACUAAAGGAAACUUUAAGGAAAGUGCCACAGAAAAGAUACCGCCUUCGGGUAAGGGUGAAAAGGUGGUGUAAGAGACCACCAGUUUCUUAGGAGACUAAGGAAGCUAGGUAAACCCCCUUCGGAGCAAGACUAAAUAGGAGAGGUUAAUGGGUUGCUCGUCCACUCUCAGGGUAAGUUGCUCGAAAUUAUAAGCAAUUAUAAUUCUAGAUAAAUGAUUAGCAAAUACAAAACCCGGCUUAUUUAGUGCCUUAUAUU